RNAcentral lists this ribosomal RNA (497 nucleotides) under uncultured bacterium. RNAcentral describes it as "partial 16S ribosomal RNA". It matches the Rfam family "Bacterial small subunit ribosomal RNA", at positions 28 to 507 of the family's 1533-position model. The record is from RNAcentral.
GAUGAACGCUGGCGGCGUGCCUAAUACAUGCAAGUCGAGCGAACAGACGAGUACCUUUUUCGUCUGACUGUAGGGGUGGACGAGGGAGGAGCAAGUGGAUAAUCUACUUACACGACUGGGUUAACAUCCGCAAAAAGGUGCUAAUACUGGAGAAUAUUUUGAACCUCAUGCUUCAUGAGUGUAAGACGGAUAUUGUUUCACUGGUGGAUGGACUCGCGCCGUAUUAGCUAGUUGGUGAGGUAACGGCUUACCAAGGCGACGAUGAGUAGCCGACCUGAGAGGGUGAUCGGCCACCCUGGAACUGAGACAAGGUCCAGAAUCCUACGGGAGGCAGCAGUAGGGAAUCUUACGCAAUGGGCGAAAGCAUGACGGAGCAACGCCGCGUGAGUGAUGAAGGUCUUCGGAUCGUAAAACUCUGUUAUUAGGGAAGAACAAAUGUGUAAGUAACUAUGCACGUCUUGACGGUACCUAAUCAGAAAGCCACGGCUAACUACGUG